Molecule: transfer RNA, 91 nt
Filed under: Pseudoduganella plicata
Lineage: Bacteria; Pseudomonadati; Pseudomonadota; Betaproteobacteria; Burkholderiales; Oxalobacteraceae
Description: tRNA-Gly
Source: RNAcentral
GCUGGCCGAGCCGCUGGCGCGGCUGUCCGUUCCCGCCGAAGGCUGGGAAGGUUCGCCCGUUCGACUGCGGUUCAUCCACGCGGGCUGGCGC